GUGCCAGCAGCCGCGGUAAUACGUAGGUGGCAAGCGUUAUCCGGAAUUAUUGGGCGUAAAGCGCGCGUAGGCGGUUUUUUAAGUCUGAUGUGAAAGCCCACGGCUCAACCGUGGAGGGUCAUUGGAAACUGGAAAACUUGAGUGCAGAAGAGGAAAGUGGAAUUCCAUGUGUAGCGGUGAAAUGCGCAGAGAUAUGGAGGAACACCAGUGGCGAAGGCGACUUUCUGGUCUGUAACUGACGCUGAUGUGCGAAAGCGUGGGGAU
This 264-nucleotide ribosomal RNA is filed under the name uncultured Staphylococcus sp. RNAcentral's name for it is "partial 16S ribosomal RNA". It matches the Rfam family "Bacterial small subunit ribosomal RNA", at positions 505 to 768 of the family's 1533-position model. Lineage: Bacteria; Bacillati; Bacillota; Bacilli; Caryophanales; Staphylococcaceae. The record is from RNAcentral.